Molecule: long non-coding RNA, 1564 nt
Organism: Pipra filicauda (Wire-tailed manakin)
Lineage: Eukaryota; Metazoa; Chordata; Aves; Passeriformes; Pipridae
Exons: 3
Source: RefSeq, a predicted model, not a curated record
CUAAAAUAUGAUAAUAUGAGAAUUAUGAUAUUUUAUUUUACUCAUCUGCCUGGAUAUUUCUCCUUCCUCGGUCAUGUUACAAUAUAUUUAGAGCCUUCUUUGAUACAUUUAUUGCCUUUCUACUGACAACCAUAAUUCCCCGUGCCAGCUAUCAUUAAUGGAAAAAAAUAUAUUUCAAGGGAGCUUCAUAAUGUUGCAGUGACAACUAAGAAGAAAUACUUCUAAAACUGUCUCAUAGCUUGUUUCAAGAUUUGUUCUUCCUGAGAAAUACUCCACUGUACCCACCUUUCAGAAUGAAAGAGAAUACUUCUAAGAUGACAUGGAACCUCUAGGAGAUAGUGGAUAGAGGUGGGACUGACCAGUUCAUGAUACAUCUCCAUGGGGGGAGCAAGGCAAUUGAUAUCUAUAAUGAAGCUGGAGAAGGGUCUGGCAGCGAGAGUGCCAUCUUUGAGAACAUGGGAAAGGUUUUUGAUAGAGCCUGGCACAAACUUGCAAGGGGAAGACAGCUCAAUAUGUGUGUAGAUGGCCAGACUGCAGUUCAUGGUUUGAGAGCAGUGUUUGCUUUAUUUCAGAUGCAAAGGACGUGCUCCAUAUAACUAGAAGUGACUGGCUCAAAAUUCUUUAAACCUUCUGUUUAACAAAAAGGACUGAUGAGUGUGCUCUGCCCUUUGCUGUGGUUCCUACAAAACACAGAACAAGUCUCUGUUCCCUGGUUAAAAUAACCCUGGAGACUGAAAUUGGCGGUCAUAGCAUUUGACUUCCCUAUGGGGUCCUGACUUGCCACAAAAUGCCACCAUUGAAACAAUACAAGGCCAUCCAACCUUGGAAAAGCAAUACAGAAUUUCAUACACAAAAAAUUCUAGAAACUCACUGCCAGCUGAGAUCACUUCAGAUCUUACCACCUUCCAAGCUAAACGCACCAUAGACUUCCUCGAUGUUUAAUAUUUCCACAAUUAGUUCUUAAGAUGAAAGCACCACCUCACUAGAAAUCCUCUCCAUCCCAUGCAGAUAAAUUCACAAACCUACCAAGCUCCUUCUCCCACAAACUGGGAAUUAAUUAUUAUACUCCAUCCUAUGCUUGGGAAAUGCAUUUUUUGCUACUGAAGGCGUCUACGUGGAUAAGCAGACAGACUGAGGAUAGAUUGAAGCUGUUCAGAAAGUUUAAAACCUGCCUUCCUGUUGGUUUAUCCUGUAUGUUGAUGCAUCACUGCUUGAACUUCAUGUAGAUCAUAACAGGACAUCAGAGGAAACCUAUGAAGUUCCUGGGGUGGGAGCUGUGGAGAGCAAUGAGAUCGUCCUUCAGCCUCCUCUUGUCCAAACUAGACAAGCCCAGAGCCCUCAAGUGUUCCUCACAGGAUGUGCCUUCCAGCCCUGUGACCAGCUUUGUUGUGCUCCUUGGGAUGCAUUCAAGGGCAGUCACAUCCUUCUUAACAGACAUACUGAGUACCUCCUGUGGACUUUGAGAGCUGUUCCUCUGAAAAUCAGGUCACUGAUGUGAUGCUGGAAGGAGAAAGCACAAGGAAAAAGAAGGGCUCUGAUUUUUAAACACAAGUGUUUAUAUGAU